This 460-nucleotide ribosomal RNA is filed under the name uncultured bacterium. RNAcentral's name for it is "partial 16S ribosomal RNA". It matches the Rfam family "Bacterial small subunit ribosomal RNA", at positions 338 to 795 of the family's 1533-position model. The record is from RNAcentral.
CCUACGGGAGGCAGCAGUGAGGAAUAUUGGUCAAUGGACGAGAGUCUGAACCAGCCAAGUAGCGUGAAGGAUGACUGCCCUAUGGGUUGUAAACUUCUUUUAUCUGGGAAUAAAAUGUUCCACGUGUGGGCUUUUGUAUGUACCUUAUGAAUAAGGAUCGGCUAACUCCGUGCCAGCAGCCGCGGUAAUACGGAGGAUCCGAGCGUUAUCCGGAUUUAUUGGGUUUAAAGGGAGCGUAGGUGGAUUGUUAAGUCAGUUGUGAAAGUUUGCGGCUCAACCGUAAAAUUGCAGUUGAAACUGGCAGUCUUGAGUACAGUAGAGGUGGGCGGAAUUCGUGGUGUAGCGGUGAAAUGCUUAGAUAUCACGAAGAACUCCGAUUGCGAAGGCAGCUCACUGGACUGCAACUGACACUGAGGCUCGAAAGUGUGGGUAUCAAACAGGAUUAGAUACCCUGGUAGUG